RNAcentral lists this ribosomal RNA (253 nucleotides) under uncultured bacterium. RNAcentral's name for it is "partial 16S ribosomal RNA". It matches the Rfam family "Bacterial small subunit ribosomal RNA", at positions 524 to 776 of the family's 1533-position model. The record is from RNAcentral.
GACGGAGGAUGCAAGCGUUAUCCGGAAUGAUUGGGCGUAAAGCGUCCGCAGGUGGCAGUUCAAGUCUGCUGUCAAAGACCGGGGCUUAACUUCGGAAAGGCAGUGGAAACUGAACAGCUAGAGUAUGGUAGGGGCAGAGGGAAUUCCUGGUGUAGCGGUGAAAUGCGCAGAGAUCGGGAGGAACACCCGUAGCGAAGGCGGCACUCUGGGCCGGUACUGACGCUGAGGAGCGAAAGCGUGGGGAGCAAACAGG